CAGACAUUAUGGACUGGUGGGCAACAGGGUUGGAGGGCGUUUUUAAGUAGUAUAGAGCGGUUUUCAAGGAUACACGUUAAAAAGAACAGCGAUUGGGUAUCAUACCACAAAGACAUAUGAAACACUGCGAGGGACUUAUGUGCCGUCAUAAAAUGGUGCCAGGCUGCGACAUGAAGGCAGGGGCCGUGAAACCGUAUCCUCACUAUCAGACUGUACAGUACAGAGACAGAGUCACACUCCCGGUGUAAGCAGGGCAUAAAACACUGCUGCAUGAUAAGGAGCUGCACAGGGACUUUGAACAUUUUAUUAGUAUCAAUAAAAGAGGCACAGGACGAA
Carassius gibelio (silver crucian carp) is the source of this 336-nucleotide long non-coding RNA. RefSeq lists it as uncharacterized. NCBI's taxonomy places the organism in Eukaryota, Metazoa, Chordata, Actinopteri, Cypriniformes, Cyprinidae. The record is from RefSeq and is a predicted model, not a curated record. The transcript has 2 exons.